Molecule: ribosomal RNA, 406 nt
Filed under: uncultured bacterium
Lineage: Bacteria
Description: partial 16S ribosomal RNA
Rfam family: Bacterial small subunit ribosomal RNA
Source: RNAcentral
AUUGAACGCUGGCGGCAGGCCUAACACAUGCAAGUCGAACGAGUGGCGGACGGGUGAGUUAUUUCUGGGAAACUGCCUGAUGGAGGGGGAUACCUACUGGAAACGGUAGCUAAUCCCGCAUACCAUCGGAUGUGCCCCGAUGGGAUUAGCUAGUCGGUGGGGUAAAGGCUCCCCUAGGCGACGAUCCCUAGCUGGUCUGAGAGGCUGACCAGCCACGCUGGAACUGAGACACGGUCCAGACUCCUACGGGAGGCAGCAGUGGGGAAUAUUGCAGAAUGGGCGCAAGCCUGAUGCAGCCAUGCCGCGUGUAUGAAGAAGGCCUUCGGGUUGUAAAGUACUUUCAGCGGGGAGGCGUUACCCGCAGAAGAAGCGCCGGCUAACUCCGUGCCAGCCGCCGCGGUAAUAC